UCCCCAUAAUCUCUAAAUUAUUAAUAAUUAGUUGUUUUCUUAUAGUCUCUUAUGAUGUCUGUCCUUUAUAAUUAGAUACUUCGUGUCUUUAUAUCCUUAUGUUUUGCUUUAGGUCUCCUUAGAAGUGGCUGCAGAGAUGGGACUAGACAUGCAAGAGAUUUAUUGCAGGAAACACCUAGGCUGAGACAAGCGGGGAGAACUGGAGAAGACUGAGAAAAUCUUCACAUCAUGACACAGAAAAAGGCCAUGUGACAACACAGCAAGAAGGUGACAUCUGCAAACCCAGCAGUGAGGCCUUGCCAGAAACCAAUCAUGUUGGCACCUUGGUCUUGGACUUCCAGCCUCCAGAAUUGUGACGAGUACUUGACAAGACAGCAACUGUGGACCCAAAGAUGGAAGUCAUGUGUUUGGGACUAUAGAAUUACCUUCUAAUCCAGGCUCCUUACUUCUGGAGAGGUAAGGACUUAUGAAAGAAAUAAUAAACAUCUGUUUUCUUUAAGUUUCUGUAUUUUUGGAUUCUUUGUUAUAACAGCUUAGCCUGUGCUCCAAUUAAUAAUGGCAGGAUUAUCAAAGAAGAGAAGAUAACACUAAUUUCUACAGAGCAUAAUAAAGGUAAAUUUAAAUGUUUCAUAUAUUUUAAUUUUUCUGAAGCUUGAUAAUAUAUGGACAAUAUUUUUUGUAUACAAAACUUGGAC
Felis catus (domestic cat) is the source of this 695-nucleotide long non-coding RNA. RefSeq lists it as uncharacterized. Lineage: Eukaryota; Metazoa; Chordata; Mammalia; Carnivora; Felidae. The transcript has 3 exons. The record is from RefSeq and is a predicted model, not a curated record.